UACGUAGGGUGCGAGCGUUAAUCGGAAUUACUGGGCGUAAAGCGUGCGCAGGCGGUUCGGUGUGUCGGCGGUGAAAGCCCCGGGCUUAACCUGGGAAUGGCAUUUGGGACUGCAAGGCUGGAGUACGGCAGAGGAGACUGGAAUUCCUAGUGUAGCAGUGAAAUGCGUAGAUAUCGAGAGGAACACCUGCGGCGAAGGCGGGUUGCUGGGCUGACACUGACGCUGAGGCGCGAAAGCUAGGGGAGCGAACGGG
Molecule: ribosomal RNA, 253 nt
Filed under: uncultured bacterium
Lineage: Bacteria
Description: partial 16S ribosomal RNA
Rfam family: Bacterial small subunit ribosomal RNA
Source: RNAcentral